ACAGCAGGAUGCAAUUACAGUGCUUCAUUCUGUGGGAGUACUGCCAUUAACCUGCUGAGAGCGAGGUCCUGCCGCAGUCGUCUUCAGCGCCGGCACUCUGGUUGCCGGCGGUGAGUGUUCUGUAGCAGGUACACAG
Molecule: small nucleolar RNA, 136 nt
Organism: Lepisosteus oculatus (spotted gar)
Lineage: Eukaryota; Metazoa; Chordata; Actinopteri; Semionotiformes; Lepisosteidae
Gene: SNORA69
Product: small nucleolar RNA, H/ACA box 69
Source: Ensembl